RNAcentral lists this ribosomal RNA (450 nucleotides) under uncultured bacterium. RNAcentral's name for it is "partial 16S ribosomal RNA". It matches the Rfam family "Bacterial small subunit ribosomal RNA", at positions 354 to 796 of the family's 1533-position model. The record is from RNAcentral.
GUGGGGAAUAUUGGACAAUGGGCGCAAGCCUGAUCCAGCCAUGCCGCGUGUGUGAAGAAGGCCUUCGGGUUGUAAAGCACUUUUGUUGGGAAAGAAAUCCUGUCGGCUAAUACCCGGCGGGGAUGACGGUACCCAAAGAAUAAGCACCGGCUAACUUCGUGCCAGCAGCCGCGGUAAUACGAAGGGUGCAAGCGUUACUCGGAAUUACUGGGCGUAAAGCGUGCGUAGGUGGUUCGUUAAGUCAGAUGUGAAAGCCCCGGGCUCAACCUGGGAAUUGCAUUUGAUACUGGCGGACUAGAGUGCGGUAGAGGAGAGUGGAAUUCCCGGUGUAGCAGUGAAAUGCGUAGAGAUCGGGAGGAACAUCAGUUGCGAAGGCGGCUCUCUGGACCAGCACUGACACUGAGGCACGAAAGCGUGGGGAGCAAACAGGAUUAGAAACCCCUGUAGUCC